GACGAACGCUGGCGGCGUGCCUAAUACAUGCAAGUUGAGCGCUGAAGGUUGGUACUUGUACCAACUGGAUGAGCAGCGAACGGGUGAGUAACGCGUGGGGAAUCUGCCUUUGAGCGGGGGACAACAUUUGGAAACGAAUGCUAAUACCGCAUAAAAACUUUAAACACAAGUUUUAAGUUUGAAAGAUGCAAUUGCAUCACUCAAAGAUGAUCCCGCGUUGUAUUAGCUAGUUGGUGAGGUAAAGGCUCACCAAGGCGAUGAUACAUAGCCGACCUGAGAGGGGGGUCGGCCACAUUGGGACUGAGACACGGCCCAAACUCCUACGGGAGGCAGCAGUAGGGAAUCUUCGGGAAUGGACGAAAGUCUGACCGAGAAACGCCGCGUGAGUGAAGAAGGUUGUCGGAUCGUAAAACUCUGUUGGUAGAGAAGAACGUUGGUGAGAGUGGAAAGCUCAUCAAGUGACGGUAACUACCCAGAAAGGGACGGCUAACUACGUG
RNAcentral lists this ribosomal RNA (497 nucleotides) under uncultured bacterium. RNAcentral describes it as "partial 16S ribosomal RNA". It matches the Rfam family "Bacterial small subunit ribosomal RNA", at positions 28 to 507 of the family's 1533-position model. The record is from RNAcentral.